This 467-nucleotide ribosomal RNA is filed under the name uncultured bacterium. Its description in RNAcentral is "partial 16S ribosomal RNA". It matches the Rfam family "Bacterial small subunit ribosomal RNA", at positions 28 to 523 of the family's 1533-position model. The record is from RNAcentral.
GACGAACGCUGGCGGCGUGCUUAACACAUGCAAGUCGAGCGAGAAACUUCGGUUUCUAGCGGCGGACGGGUGAGUAACACGUGGGCAACCUGCCUCACAAUGGGGGAUAGCCUUCCGAAAGGAAGAUUAAUACCGCAUAACACAAAGGAAACGCAUGUUUCUUUUGCCAAAGAAUUUCGUUGUGAGAUGGGCCCGCGGCGCAUUAGCUUGUUGGUGAGGUAACGGCUCACCAAGGCGACGAUGCGUAGCCGACCUGAGAGGGUGAUCGGCCACAGUGGAGCGGAGACACGGUCCAGACUGCUACGGGAGGCAGCAGUGGGGAAUAUUGCACAAUGGAGGAAACUCUGAUGCAGCAACGCCGCGUGAGUGGUGAAGGUCUUCGGAUUGUAAAGCUCUGUCUUCUGGGACGAUAAUGACGGUACCAGAGGAGGAAGCCACGGCUAACUACGUGCCAGCCGCCGCAGUAA